CUGGCUUCCUCCACGACUACUCAAACUGCUGCCGAACAAGACUGCGUUUCGUGCAAAAUUAUUGGCACCGGCAGUCUUUUUGGCAUCGGCUGCUACAUCAUUUUUGCUACAAGACCAGUGGGAUACUAUGCAACAAGACCAGUGACUCGUCAAAUCAUUCGAUCCUUAUCAGCAGUUCCAUUCUACGCGUCGGUUGCCCGCUGGUUCUACCUUCCUCCAUU
This 221-nucleotide small RNA is filed under the name Caenorhabditis briggsae. RNAcentral describes it as "sRNA CBG31158". Lineage: Eukaryota; Metazoa; Nematoda; Chromadorea; Rhabditida; Rhabditidae. The record is from RNAcentral.